UCUUUUGCUUAGCUUUAGGGUUCAGUUAACUAUCUCCCUUACUGGAAUGUCAUACUAGAAUAUCCUAUAAUAAUCUAAUAAGAAUAUAGUCGUGACUUGGCCACUCGUUUUUCUUUCAUCUUUGUUUCUCAAUUCCUACAGUGUUCAGGCAACUCUAUUCUCUACUUGGUGCACCUCCUCUGGCAACUAUGUGACCAAUGCCCAAUCUCUCGGUCAAACAAAUAAGUCACAUCUAAAUCUCCUGAAAUUGGUAAACCCCUUCUCUUUGGGCAGUCAACCCGGAUUCUCUUUCUGACCUUUCCUACUAAAGACUCUUUAGCUAGUGUUCUUCCUGGCAACUUCACUGGUUCCAUAGCCCCGGUAAGAUAGAGAUGAAACUACAAGUCCAGUUUUUGAGUGCUGUAUUUGUGAGAGCACAGAGCAGAGGUCGACCCCAACUCUCCUUCUCCAUAUCUUGCUACUGACAAUUGAACCGUAACACCAGGGUACCAGACUGCUUCC
RNAcentral lists this long non-coding RNA (501 nucleotides) under Musa acuminata (dwarf banana). RNAcentral's name for it is "long non-coding RNA (MACU_LNC009116)". The record is from RNAcentral. Lineage: Eukaryota; Viridiplantae; Streptophyta; Magnoliopsida; Zingiberales; Musaceae.